AUUGAACGCUGGCGGCAUGCCUUACACAUGCAAGUCGAACGGCAGCACGGGAGCAAUCCUGGUGGCGAGUGGCGAACGGGUGAGUAAUGUAUCGGAACGUGCCCAGUCGUGGGGGAUAACGCAGCGAAAGCUGUGCUAAUACCGCAUACGAUCUAUGGAUGAAAGCGGGGGAUCGCAAGACCCCGCGCGAUAGGAUCGGCCGAUAUCAGAUUAGGUAGUUGGUGGGGUAAAGGCCCACCAAGCCGACGAUCUGUAGCUGGUCUGAGAGGACGACCAGCCACACUGGGACUGAGACACGGCCCAGACUCCUACGGGAGGCAGCAGUGGGGAAUUUUGGACAGUGGGCGCAAGCCUGAUCCAGCAAUGCCGCGUGCAGGACGAAGGCCUUCGGGUUGUAAACUGCUUUUGUACGGAACGAAACGGCUUUUUCUAAUACAGAGAGCUAAUGACGGUACCGUAAGAAUAAGCACCGGCUAACUACGUGCCAGCAGCCGCAGUAA
This 500-nucleotide ribosomal RNA is filed under the name uncultured bacterium. RNAcentral's name for it is "partial 16S ribosomal RNA". It matches the Rfam family "Bacterial small subunit ribosomal RNA", at positions 30 to 523 of the family's 1533-position model. The record is from RNAcentral.